RNAcentral lists this ribosomal RNA (266 nucleotides) under uncultured bacterium. RNAcentral's name for it is "partial small subunit ribosomal RNA". It matches the Rfam family "Bacterial small subunit ribosomal RNA", at positions 26 to 285 of the family's 1533-position model. The record is from RNAcentral.
AGGACGAACGCUGGCGGUGUGCUUAACACAUGCAAGUGGAGCGACGAACCAGAGCUUGCUCUGGGGCAGAGCCGCGAACGGGUGAGUAACACGUGGGUAACCUACCCCGAUGACCGGGACAACCCGAGGAAACUCGGGCUAAUACCGGAUAUGUCCGACAUUCACGAGGAUGUCGAGCAAAGGAAGCUUCGGCCUCCGCUUCGGGAGGGGCCCGCGGCCCAUUAGCUAGUUGGUGGGGUAAUGGCCUACCAAGGCUGCGACGGGUA